UACGAAGGGGGCUAGCGUUGUUCGGAAUCACUGGGCGUAAAGGGUGCGUAGGCGGUCGGGUAAGUCUGAUGUGAAAUCUCCGGGCUCAACCCGGAAAUGGCAUUGGAUACUAUUCGGCUCGAGGUCUGGAGGGGGGACUGGAAUACUUGGUGUAGCAGUGAAAUGCGUAGAUAUCAAGUGGAACACCAGUGGCGAAGGCGAGUCCCUGGACAGAUCCUGACGCUGAGGCACGAAAGCUAGGGGAGCAAACAGG
RNAcentral lists this ribosomal RNA (253 nucleotides) under uncultured bacterium. RNAcentral's name for it is "partial 16S ribosomal RNA". It matches the Rfam family "Bacterial small subunit ribosomal RNA", at positions 524 to 776 of the family's 1533-position model. The record is from RNAcentral.